ACGAACGCUGGCGGCGUGCUUAACACAUGCAAGUCGAGCGACGCUCUUCCUUCGGGAAGAUGACGGAGCGGCGAACGGGUGAGUAACACGUGGGCAACCUGCCCCUAGCUCUGGGACAACUCCGGGAAACCGGGGCUAAUACCGGAUACGACCUCUGAGGACAUCCUCGGCGGUGGAAAGUUUUUCGGCUAGGGAUGGGCCCGCGGCCUAUCAGCUUGUUGGUGAGGUAACGGCCCACCAAGGCGACGACGGGUAGCCGGCCUGGGAGGGCGACCGGCCACACUGGGACUGAGACACGGCCCAGACUCCUACGGGAGGCAGCAGUGGGGAAUAUUGCGCAAUGGGCGAAAGCCUGACGCAGCGACGCCGCGUGAGGGAUGAAGGCCUUCGGGUUGUAAACCUCUUUCAGCAGGGACGAAGCGAAAGUGACGGUACCUGCAGAAGAAGCACCGGCCAACUACGU
RNAcentral lists this ribosomal RNA (463 nucleotides) under uncultured bacterium. RNAcentral's name for it is "bacterial SSU rRNA". It matches the Rfam family "Bacterial small subunit ribosomal RNA", at positions 29 to 506 of the family's 1533-position model. The record is from RNAcentral.